GGUUGUAGCUCAGUGGUAGAGCACUUGCCUGGCAUGUGUGAGGCACUGGGUUCAAUUCUCAGCACCA
This 67-nucleotide transfer RNA is filed under the name Marmota marmota marmota (Alpine marmot). It matches the Rfam family "tRNA". From Rfam's summary of the family: Transfer RNA (tRNA) molecules are approximately 80 nucleotides in length. Their secondary structure includes four short double-helical elements and three loops (D, anti-codon, and T loops). Further hydrogen bonds mediate the characteristic L-shaped molecular structure. tRNAs have two regions of fundamental functional importance: the anti-codon, which is responsible for specific mRNA codon recognition, and the 3' end, to which the tRNAs corresponding amino acid is attached (by aminoacyl-tRNA synthetases). tRNAs cope with the degeneracy of the genetic code in two manners: having more than one tRNA (with a specific anti-codon) for a particular amino acid; and 'wobble' base-pairing, i.e. permitting non-standard base-pairing at the 3rd anti-codon position. Lineage: Eukaryota; Metazoa; Chordata; Mammalia; Rodentia; Sciuridae. RNAcentral also lists the same sequence under 1 other name. The record is from Rfam by way of RNAcentral.